Molecule: non-coding RNA, 86 nt
Filed under: unclassified sequences
Source: RNAcentral
UUUGUUCCGCCGCCGGGUGGAACGGACAAACACCUUAUUUUCCGCCGUUAGGCCUUUGAAGACGGAAAAUGCGGUGUUUUUUUUAU